RNAcentral lists this ribosomal RNA (863 nucleotides) under uncultured Bradyrhizobiaceae bacterium. RNAcentral describes it as "bacterial SSU rRNA". It matches the Rfam family "Bacterial small subunit ribosomal RNA", at positions 8 to 916 of the family's 1533-position model. The record is from RNAcentral. Lineage: Bacteria; Pseudomonadati; Pseudomonadota; Alphaproteobacteria; Hyphomicrobiales; Nitrobacteraceae.
AGAGUUUGAUCCUGGCUCAGAGCGAACGCUGGCGGCAGGCUUAACACAUGCAAGUCGAGCGGGCGUAGCAAUACGUCAGCGGCAGACGGGUGAGUAACGCGUGGGAACAUACCUUUUGGUUCGGAACAACACAGGGAAACUUGUGCUAAUACCGGAUAAGCCCUUACGGGGAAAGAUUUAUCGCCGAAAGAUUGGCCCGCGUCUGAUUAGCUAGUUGGUGAGGUAACGGCUCACCAAGGCGACGAUCAGUAGCUGGUCUGAGAGGAUGAUCAGCCACAUUGGGACUGAGACACGGCCCAAACUCCUACGGGAGGCAGCAGUGGGGAAUAUUGGACAAUGGGCGCAAGCCUGAUCCAGCCAUGCCGCGUGAGUGAUGAAGGCCCUAGGGUUGUAAAGCUCUUUUGUGCGGGAAGAUAAUGACGGUACCGCAAGAAUAAGCCCCGGCUAACUUCGUGCCAGCAGCCGCGGUAAUACGAAGGGGGCUAGCGUUGCUCGGAAUCACUGGGCGUAAAGGGUGCGUAGGCGGGUCUUUAAGUCAGGGGUGAAAUCCUGGAGCUCAACUCCAGAACUGCCUUUGAUACUGAGGAUCUUGAGUUCGGGAGAGGUGAGUGGAACUGCGAGUGUAGAGGUGAAAUUCGUAGAUAUUCACAAGAACACCAGUGGCGAAGGCGGCUCACUGGCCCGAUACUGACGCUGAGGCACGAAAGCGUGGGGAGCAAACAGGAUUAGAUACCCUGGUAGUCCACGCUGUAAACGAUGAAUGCCAGCCGUUAGUGGGUUUACUCACUAGUGGCGCAGCUAACGCUUUAAGCAUUCCGCCUGGGGAGUACGGUCGCAAGAUUAAAACUCAAAGGAAUUGACGG